This 226-nucleotide long non-coding RNA is filed under the name Nicotiana benthamiana. RNAcentral's name for it is "long non-coding RNA (NBEN_LNC020663)". Lineage: Eukaryota; Viridiplantae; Streptophyta; Magnoliopsida; Solanales; Solanaceae. The record is from RNAcentral.
CUUCUGGAAUCUCAAAUUUUGCUGAAAAACUAGGAUAAUCGAUUAUCCUAAUAGGACAAUCGAUUAUCUUAGCUCUCUGGAAUUUCCAAUUUUGCUGAAAAAACUCCAGUUAAUCGAUUAUUUUAAAAAUAAUCGAUUAUCCUCAGAUUCUGUUUCAAAAAUUUUGAUGAACAAAUUGCAUAAUCGAUUAUUUUCAAAGAAUAAUCGAUUAUGUGAUGCUUCUGUU